Molecule: ribosomal RNA, 468 nt
Filed under: uncultured bacterium
Lineage: Bacteria
Description: partial 16S ribosomal RNA
Rfam family: Bacterial small subunit ribosomal RNA
Source: RNAcentral
GACGAACGCUGGCGGCGUGCUUAACACAUGCAAGUCGAACGGAAAGGCCCUGCUUUUGUGGGGUGCUCGAGUGGCGAACGGGUGAGUAACACGUGAGUAACCUGCCCUUGACUUUGGGAUAACUUCAGGAAACUGGGGCUAAUACCGGAUAGGAGCUCCUGCUGCAUGGUGGGGGUUGGAAAGUUUCGGCGGUUGGGGAUGGACUCGCGGCUUAUCAGCUUGUUGGUGGGGUAGUGGCUUACCAAGGCUUUGACGGGUAGCCGGCCUGAGAGGGUGACCGGCCACAGUGGGACUGAGAUACGGCCCAGACUCCUACGGGAGGCAGCAGCGGGGAAUAUUGCACAAUGGGCGGAAGCCUGAUGCAGCAACGCCGCGUGCGGGAUGACGGCCUUCGGGUUGUAAACCGCUUUCGCCUGUGACGAAGCGUGAGUGACGGUAAUGGGUAAAGAAGCACCGGCUAACUACGUG